UCAAUUUAUUACCAGUUUAAUUCCGAAGAAUCAAUUUCUUUACCCUUCGCUUGAGAUAAUCAAGUUAACCUUCAUUUUCACUUUGCGCUGACUGAGCCGAGGGCUUGAAGUGUAAUUUUACUGUCCAUUUGUAAUAAUCCAACUGAAAGAAGAGAUAACAGAAGGAAACGGGUGCAAAAUUUAUCCGGUGGGGACAUCAUCUCUUAUUUUCGGGGCAAUCCAUUAAUCCACUGGCCUAAAGAAUAUGAUAAUAGUUGAGGAAAGUACACGGCGUCUACCUAAAUGGAUGCUAGGUGUAAGUGUAACUGCUGAUAAUGAUAAUAAUAAUAAGAAGAACAUUACCGACGAGCCUGAAGAUGAAGAAGACGAGGCAAAUCUAGCAAAGAAUUCAAAAUUCGAAGCGAAAAGGAGAAAGAGGAACCAAGUUAAAGACAAUAAAGAACUGGAUGAUGAUACUGACAACGACGUAAACAAGAAAACAAGCAAUCGGCCUGGGAGAAAGCGAAAAUCAAAAAGUAAGGCGGAGAUCAAAGCUGAGUACGAGAAGGAGGAGGGGGAGGAGCUGACCGUUGAAGACUUAGUCAGCAUUGCCGAGGAGUAUGUCAAAGCUGACGAGGAUUCACGGAGAAAACAAACAUCAGGCAGAGAAUGUAAAUUGCAAGGACAACUGCCAGCAACAGCUUCUUCUAAGAAUGAUUUAGAAGAGUCUUUCAUUGUUCUUGAUGGCAAACAUAUAUCAGCUGGUUGUGAAACCACUUCUUAUGGUUCAGCUAUGAAUUUAGUUAGCGAAGAAAGUCUCAUUUCCUCAAGUAGGACAGGGGAUCCUGCUCAUGACAUGUUGGAUUUAUUUUUGGGUCCCUUGCUUAAGAAGCCAAUGGAGAAAGAGAAGAGGUCUGCAUUUACUACAAUGGAUGCUGAUUUUACCGUCGUGUUGAAAAAGAAAGGUCACGAUGAUUUUGGAGACGAAAAGGUGCCUCCAAUGAAGAAGAAGAGCAGCCUUAAAGACAAGGUAUCCUUAUUGCUUGACUGAUUAAAGAGUCCAAAGCAGAUAUGUUGAGAUGCUACUGUGAUCCUCUCAAUCUGGUUCCAUCAAGCAAGCAAUUUCUGGACACUUCCAUCUCUUCUUCACUUCAGAUGAUAUUUCCCUAGGCCCUGCUGAUGCUUACAAACAUGAUCUUUACAAAAAAAUUACCAUGUGCCAGUCUCAGUUUGUUGUGUCUGGUAUACCAGUCAUGCUUGUUUUGUGAUUGUGGAACUCUUGGAUGUUAACUUUGGCAUGGCAAGAUAGCUGAAAAAUUACGCAUGAAUGUCAAGUUGACUGGUUACAAUUAGCCUACAAUCAUUUACUUUGGUGGCACUUUUGGGAUACCUAUCUGAACCUGAUUCAGUUGUGCGCGUGUCAUUAGCACCUUGAUAUGUAGGUUACAGAACUAUAUAUUUUAUCUCAUGUAUUUUGGGCUUUGGAGAAACAAUGAGAGAUUGUGCAUGCACAAGGGAUCUCAAUAGAUGGUGAUUUGCCUGAUUUUAGAGGUGUUUUAGAGGUGAACAAUUAAUGUAUUAUUAAUGUAACUGGCUACGAUUUUUUCUUCUUUUGCUGAUAUUUUGUUGCUUGAUUGACUUUCUAUUGGAUGCGAGGCCUAGUUCGUUUUCAGUUCAGUCUUAUAUGAACCUGUGGGUAGGCAGUUCUUUAGAUGGUCUUUGUACUGAUCUGAUUUCUUCUUCCUUCUUUAAGGAAAAGCAUGGAGCUGGCCUGGAGCUAGGUUGGAGGAAUUGAUCUCUUACUUGUCAUGCCUGCUGCUGAGAAAAAAAGGAUGUCAGGAGUCAAGGACUUGCAUGAAGUGGCCUUGCGCUGGGUAAGAAUUUAUCUACUACUCGUCAUGACUGCUGAAGGUUUUGUGGCUUCCUUUGAAGUUAAAGCUACAGCUUCCUAUACGAGUCAUACGUGACAAGCUUUGAAAGAGACUUCAGUGUUUGUUAAUAGGUGCAACGCUGGCUGGUUUGUAAAGGCUAUACGAAGAUACUCCAUUUUAGAUCGGCAGAGCCUGAAACUCAUUUUCUAGGCAAAAGUUUCCCAC
Molecule: RNA transcript, 2075 nt
Organism: Populus euphratica (Euphrates poplar)
Lineage: Eukaryota; Viridiplantae; Streptophyta; Magnoliopsida; Malpighiales; Salicaceae
Gene name: rRNA biogenesis protein RRP36
Exons: 5
Source: RefSeq, a predicted model, not a curated record